This 1392-nucleotide ribosomal RNA is filed under the name uncultured bacterium. RNAcentral describes it as "partial 16S ribosomal RNA". It matches the Rfam family "Bacterial small subunit ribosomal RNA". The record is from RNAcentral.
GAGUUUGAUCAUGGCUCAGGAUGAACGCUGACAGAAUGCUUAACACAUGCAAGUCUUUGGCGAAUCUGUGCUUGCACAGGCUAGCCAAGGCGGACGGGUGAGUAACGCGUAAAGAACUUGCCCUGCAGACAGGGAUAACAGACGGAAACGACUGAUAACACCUGAUACAAUUGCCGGCACGCAUGUGCCUGGCAAUGAAAAGAGAUGCUGCGGGAGAGCUUUGCGUCCUAUUAGCUUGUUGGUGGGGUAAUGGCCUACCAAGGCGUCGACGGGUAGCCGGCCUGAGAGGGUGGACGGCCACAUUGGGACUGAGAUACGGCCCAGACUCCUACGGGAGGCAGCAGUGGGGAAUAUUGCACAAUGGGCGCAAGCCUGAUGCAGCGACGCCGCGUGGGGGAUGACGGCCUUCGGGUUGUAAACUCCUUUCGUUAGGGACGAAGCCGCACCUGUUUUGGGUGUGGUGACGGUACCUUUGUUAAGAAGCACCGGCUAACUACGUGCCAGCAGCCGCGGUAAUACGUAGGGUGCGAGCGUUGUCCGGAAUUACUGGGCGUAAAGAGCUCGUAGGUGGUUUGUUGCGUCGUCUGUGAAAUUCCGGGGCUUAACUUCGGGGUGGCAGGCGAUACGGGCAUAACUAGAGUGCUGUAGGGGAGACUGGAAUUCCUGGUGUAGCGGUGGAAUGCGCAGAUAUCAGGAGGAACACCGAUGGCGAAGGCAGGUCUCUGGGCAGUAACUGACGCUGAGGAGCGAAAGCAUGGGGAGCGAACAGGAUUAGAUACCCUGGUAGUCCAUGCUGUAAACGGUGGGCGUUAGGUGUGGGGACCGGUUUGGUUUCUGUGCCGUAGCUAACGCAUUAAGCGCCCCGCCUGGGGAGUACGGCCGCAAGGCUAAAACUCAAAGGAAUUGACGGGGGCCCGCACAAGCGGCGGAGCAUGUGGAUUAAUUCGAUGCAACGCGAAGAACCUUACCUGGGUUUGACAUGCACCAGACGGUUGUAGAGAUACGUACCUCCCUUUGUGGUUGGUGUGCAGGUGGUGCAUGGUUGUCGUCAGCUCGUGUCGUGAGAUGUUGGGUUAAGUCCCGCAACGAGCGCAACCCUUGUCUUAUGUUGCCAGCACUUUGGGUGGGGACUCAUGAGAGACUGCCGGGGUUAACUCGGAGGAAGGUGGGGAUGACGUCAAAUCAUCAUGCCCUUUAUGCCCAGGGCUUCACACAUGCUACAAUGGUUAGUACAACGCGCAGCAAACCUGUGAGGGUGAGCGAAUCGCUGAAAGCUAAUCUCAGUUCGGAUUGGGGUCUGCAACUCGACCCCAUGAAGUCGGAGUCGCUAGUAAUCGCAGAUCAGCAAUGCUGCGGUGAAUACGUUCCCGGGCCUUGUACACACCGCCCGUC